Molecule: transfer RNA, 73 nt
Filed under: Camelus dromedarius (Arabian camel)
Lineage: Eukaryota; Metazoa; Chordata; Mammalia; Artiodactyla; Camelidae
Also listed under: 1 other name
Rfam family: tRNA
About the family: Transfer RNA (tRNA) molecules are approximately 80 nucleotides in length.
Source: Rfam by way of RNAcentral
GAGGGUAGAGCUCAAUGGUAGAGUGCAUGCUUAGCAUGCACAAGGUCCUGGGUUCAAUCCCCUGGUACCUCCA